AUGAAGGGCAUCGCCGAUGAGCUCGCAGCCGCCGGCAAGCCCCUUGGAGAAGAUGACCUCGUCGACCAGAUUCUCCAAGGCCUGAUGCAUGAGCCAGAAUACAACGGCUUCGUCUCCGCGAUCUCCACCCGUGCUGCCAUGGACCAACAGAUUGGGCUCACUGAGCUCUUCUCGUUGCUCUUGGCAGCCGAGUCACGCAUCCUCGCCCAGCAGGCUGCCUUCUCCCCCAACCACUCCGCCAAUCUUGCUUCCCGUGGUGGUGGCCGCGGUGGUCGUGGA
Molecule: ribosomal RNA, 279 nt
Filed under: Triticum aestivum (bread wheat)
Lineage: Eukaryota; Viridiplantae; Streptophyta; Magnoliopsida; Poales; Poaceae
Description: partial small subunit ribosomal RNA
Source: RNAcentral